GACGAACGCUGGCGGCGUGCUUAACACAUGCAAGUCGAACGGAAAGGCCCUGCUUUUGUGGGGUGCUCGAGUGGCGAACGGGUGAGUAACACGUGAGUAACCUGCCCUUGACUUUGGGAUAACUUCAGGAAACUGGGGCUAAUACCGGAUAGGAGCUCCUGCUGCAUGGUGGGGGUUGGAAAGUUUCGGCGGUUGGGGAUGGACUCGCGGCUUAUCAGCUUGUUGGUGGGGUAGUGGCUUACCAAGGCUUUGACCGGUAGCCGGCCUGAGAGGGUGACCGGCCACAUUGGGACUGAGGUACGGCCCAGACGCCUACGGGGGGCAGCAGGGGGGAAUAUUGCACAAUGGGAGGAAGCCUGAUGCAGCAACGCCGCGUGCGGGAUGACGGCCUUCGGGUUGUAAACCGCUUUCGCCUGUGACGAAGCGUGAGUGACGGUAAUGGGUAAAGAAGCACCGGCUAACUACGUG
RNAcentral lists this ribosomal RNA (468 nucleotides) under uncultured bacterium. RNAcentral describes it as "partial 16S ribosomal RNA". It matches the Rfam family "Bacterial small subunit ribosomal RNA", at positions 28 to 507 of the family's 1533-position model. The record is from RNAcentral.